GUUACCUUCCCAGAGGUUGUCUGAGGAUCAGCACACUCAACUCCAUUACACUCCUGCAGAAGUAUCACUGGAGACCUUCUCAAAGCAUCACUUGGCAGAAAACAAGAAAUGCGCUCACGUCUGCUGUCUUCCCUUUCAUCCUCCGCUGCAGCACCUCUUCAGAAAAUCAGGUUAGUGUAGGAGAGAAAAGAGGGAAGCAAGCAAGACCAAAAGAAGACUAAUCCUGGGAAAAAGACCUGAAGCUGCAUCUGGGCUCCCCACCACAGCCCCAUGGAGAGGCAUAGCCCCAUGUGUGUGAGACCCGGCUGCAGGGAUGCUCAGAGCCCAAUCUGCCUUGGAAGACAAGUCCCGGGAGCCAAGCGAUGGGAUAAAGAAGUCAGCCAGACAUGCUAUCCACCAGGAAGAGACGACUGCUGUUCCGGUGCCUUGUCAGAUGUUUGCACACCAGACCCGGCUCAGGAUAAUGGAAUGCGGAAACUCUAGUGUAGUAGAUUUGCCUUGCAACGGAGGUCCCAAAUCCUAUGGUUUUAUCACAGGUUUUGUGACAUACGGUGGCAUUUUGCUCCCAGGGCUCCAUGUCUCAGAUUUCUCUGAUUGCGUAAUAAACCAUCUUUUCACUUCCAGAAAAAAAACAAAGGAAAAUGUCAAUGUAAAAUUGUCUUCAAGAAAGGCUUUCCCUAGGGCUUUUCUGUGGGGUAAAUCAGUGACUAACUCAGGGAACAAUCUCCGUCAGCCUUCCACCCAGCAAUAUCUGAAAAGCUACAGGGUUUGGGGAGCGAAAAUACUACUUCAUUUCACAAGUCUCCUUUGCACUUUCUCAGCUGAAGACUCACGUGUGGCUGGGACUGGACAUGGGAGCUGAAGGCCGUUCCACUUUCAGGAUCUCCCUGCUGCAGCAUCUGGAUUCCUUUACGUCAAAGGCCCAUUGGGUUUGAAAAGCUUUGAGAAUGUUCCUAUUAGUCUUAGAUACCAGAAAACCUUGUUUUUCAAAAU
Molecule: long non-coding RNA, 993 nt
Organism: Columba livia (rock pigeon)
Lineage: Eukaryota; Metazoa; Chordata; Aves; Columbiformes; Columbidae
Exons: 3
Source: RefSeq, a predicted model, not a curated record